CAGGACGAACGCUGGCGGCGCGCCUAACACAUGCAAGUCGAACGGAGUUAAGAGAGCUUGCUUCUUAACUUAGUGGCGGACGGGUGAGUAACACGUGAGCAACCUGCCUUUCAGUGGGGGACAACAGUUGGAAACGACUGCUAAUACCGCAUAACGUUGCGAAAGGGCAUCCUUUUGCAACCAAAGAUUUAUCGCUGAAAGAUGGGCUCGCGUCUGAUUAGAUAGUUGGUGAGGUAACGGCCCACCAAGUCGACGAUCAGUAGCCGGACUGAGAGGUUGAACGGCCACAUUGGGACUGAGACACGGCCCAGACUCCUACGGGAGGCAGCAGUGGGGGAUAUUGGACAAUGGGGGCAAACCCCCUGAUCCAGCGACGCCGCGUGAGGGAAGAAGGUUUUCGGAUUGUAAACCUCUGUUGACAGGGAAGAAAAUGACGGUACCUGUUAAGAAAGCCACGGCUAACUACGUGCCAGCCGCAGC
RNAcentral lists this ribosomal RNA (480 nucleotides) under uncultured bacterium. RNAcentral's name for it is "bacterial SSU rRNA". It matches the Rfam family "Bacterial small subunit ribosomal RNA", at positions 25 to 518 of the family's 1533-position model. The record is from RNAcentral.